AGGGUUUGGCACCUCGAUGUCGGCUCAUCACAUCCUGGGGGUGAAGAAGCUCCCAAGGGUUAGGCUGUUCGCCUAUUAAAGUGGUACGCGAGCUGGGUUCAAAACGUCGUGAGACAGUUUGGUCCUUAUCUGCUGUGGGUGUACGAAACUUGAGUGGGCGCAUCCCUAGUACGAGAGGACCGGGAUGCAUUGACCUCUGGUGUACCCGUUGUCCUGUCUAGGGCAUGGCGGGGUAGCUAGGUCGAGUUAGGAUAAGCGCUGAAUGCAUAUAAGCGUGAAGCCGUCCACAAAACUAGGUUUCGUUGCCACCUUCGGGUGGCAAGAGGUUCGGGGAAGACUACCCCGUAUUUUAAUCAAAAGUUUUUUGAUGAAGUAGCAAUACGGAUUCAAAGAGCCGUAGAUUUUAUAGGUUGCAGGUGUAAGGCUGGUAACAGCUUCAGCCGAGCAAUACUAAUCAACCAAAAGUUUUAAUCUU
This 475-nucleotide ribosomal RNA is filed under the name Patescibacteria group bacterium. Its description in RNAcentral is "partial 23S ribosomal RNA". It matches the Rfam family "Bacterial large subunit ribosomal RNA", at positions 2513 to 2925 of the family's 2925-position model. The record is from RNAcentral.